UUGUAGCCGUGUUCGUGUACGGCAACGGU
This 29-nucleotide small RNA is filed under the name Bombyx mori (domestic silkworm). Its description in RNAcentral is "ovarian small RNA-38077". Lineage: Eukaryota; Metazoa; Arthropoda; Insecta; Lepidoptera; Bombycidae. The record is from RNAcentral.